UCAGUAAACGAGGCCGCGUGCGCUACGCCCGCCCGCCCCGCUCCUUACCUUGCCUACUGCACCUAUUUGUUGCUUCCUGGCGGCGGACUGCCCUGCCGCCAGGGACAUUUAUACAAGCCCUGUAUAGAAGUAUUGAAACUCUGAAGAAAACACGAAUCGUA
RNAcentral lists this unclassified non-coding RNA (161 nucleotides) under soil metagenome. RNAcentral's name for it is "partial internal transcribed spacer 1". The record is from RNAcentral.